Andrographis paniculata is the source of this 1382-nucleotide long non-coding RNA. RefSeq lists it as uncharacterized. The record is from RefSeq and is a predicted model, not a curated record. The transcript has 6 exons. Lineage: Eukaryota; Viridiplantae; Streptophyta; Magnoliopsida; Lamiales; Acanthaceae.
CCCUUUCUUUUUUCUCCUCCCUUUUCUCCCUUUCUUUUUUUCGAAUUUCUUCUUCUCCUUCCCCUCUACCAUUCUCCUUCGAAGUUGCUACCUUUCUCUCAAAGAUGGAAUCAGCCGUCGCUGGAAGAGGGCCUUCACGGUUCCGCACGAAGGUAGCUCCGGCAAGGCCACCGGAAUCUCUUCGGAAAUAAUGCUGGAAGUGACCAUGUGUCAACGCAGGCAUGCUGUGCUCAUUCAGGAUACCUACCUUUGAGUUUAACGAAAGGGUUUCUACUUGGGGCGUAAUCAACAUAGAGAGGACCCAUGUUCCUUUUCGGCAUGAUUGAAAAUCAUCAUCACCAUGAAUUCUAUCCUACAGAACAGGAAACUCUCCUCAUCGAUCUGCACCAAUUGAAUAACAUAUUCAAUUUCAUCAUUUCAAAACACAUCUAUGCAUUGAAAAUUAACUCAAAGUGCAUACUUAAUGAAUUUCCAUCAGAUUUGCCUUUCAUAAUUACAAUGGUAAAACAUAUGCUUGCCACUUCUAAUAUUUGUGUGGACAUAAGGCAAGAACUGCAUGUAAUGUAAUAUGUUCGUAAUUAAGUAAUUAUUUACUUAAUUAUAUUAAAUUUGACGUAAUAGCAUUACAUAUCCUUCAUCUCUAGCAUCCACAUCGUUGUAUUUUCUUCUUAGUUUCACUGUAAUAAAUGAUAGGGCACAUCUCGUAUUGAUUCAGUCUCUGAGCUUCCCAGGCCUGUGUCCUGACCAGGUCUGACGGUCGGUACGCGUGUGCUUCUAUUAUCCCGCACCGGUGAGAAAAAGUUGUUGCGGAGGGACUUCUGCUUUGCCCCCCAGCGCCAGGUGACACACUUUCUCUGGUCAAGGUCUUCGUGACAUCCGCCUCAACCCCGGACACACCCCUUAUUUCACCGACCAUUGCUGGGGCGACUACCCUUCGCGAUGUCAUUGGUGAAGAUCCUAUUGAGUGGAACUACAAGGACCUCAUGCGCCGCCCCUGAAGCGUAUCUACCGAUUCACCAAUGUUAGUUGCCCCGUUUGUCUUAUGGAUUGUAUGUCGUACCUAUUUUUGGAUGGAUUAUGUUGAGGUUGUGUGAACUAUAUGUGGAAUGGAUGCAUAGACCAUUGGAGUUUUAAUUCGUGUGGUGAAAGAUGUGGUUAUGGAUUGAUGGAUAUCCGCACUUGCUUAUUGUUAGGUUUGGUGUUUGAACUGUUAAGCACAUUUUGCGGAACAGGAUGUUGCUGUGUAGUGCUUGCUAGGCUUCUUUUAUGGGUUGCUUUUCUUUGUUGUUAGGUAUGGAGAUUGUCCAGUAAAAACUGUGGUGUCCAUGUGCCUUAAUGUUGGGUUUAAUGUAUUUACUAUGAAUUAAUGUUUGCAAGUAUUG